GCGUGAGAGGUACUGGUUCAAAAAUGCUUUCUUCAAGUCCGGCUAACUUCUGAUGCUUAGGGGAGGAAGCCUGCUGUACCACACCUCGGCGGCUCCGCCUAGUGUUAAAUGGAAGGCUCUGCACUUUAGGGCAGGUGAGGCUCCCCUAAGACUCAUUUGUGUCAUAUACUUUGUGAGGUGCUUCUCCGGAUCCCCUUUUCCCUCAUACUUGGGGAUCUUAGGGGGCAUGAAAUUAGUUGGCAUUGGGAAGCUUCGGAUUUCCCUUGAGAAAGGGAGGUUAUCGUCAUCGUCGUCAAUCUCAUAAGAUCGAUAGGGCCCCUCUGAUCCUUGAUCAUCUUGGAUGUUUUGGGGUGGAGGAGGUGCUUUCCCCCGGCUUCCCCAAUCGACUAAGUUUCUCCUCUCCCUCCUAUUUCUAGGAGGAGGAGCAUACUCUUCUUCGUGGUCUGACCGGACCGGCCCUCUUGAAGGGCGGACCCUAUUGCUAGGAUCGUUCCCUAUCCGGUCGAAGACGCUUACUGACCUCCGGUCAUCGUGUUCUUGAGGAAAGUUGUCCCCCAAGAGUGGUUCUAAUGGGUGACUCUCCUGCACAUAAGAUGUCGCUUCGGUGUUCCCCUUUCUUUCGAAAGAACGUUCUGUGUGCCGGCUCAUGUGGCCUCGAGAAUGAGACAAAGGGAUUUCCUGUACCGGAUAAGAUCCUUGGGGCAUCUGGUGUCCCUGGGCUUGCAUGAGAAGUUCCCGCAUCGCCAUAUUCUGAGCUGCUAUGUCUCUCAUGCCCGCAGCUAUCUGGG
RNAcentral lists this long non-coding RNA (788 nucleotides) under Olea europaea subsp. europaea. Lineage: Eukaryota; Viridiplantae; Streptophyta; Magnoliopsida; Lamiales; Oleaceae. The record is from RNAcentral.